This 253-nucleotide ribosomal RNA is filed under the name uncultured prokaryote. Its description in RNAcentral is "partial 16S ribosomal RNA". It matches the Rfam family "Bacterial small subunit ribosomal RNA", at positions 525 to 777 of the family's 1533-position model. The record is from RNAcentral.
ACAGAGGGUGCGAGCGUUGUCCGGAAUCACUGGGCGUAAAGGGCGCGUAGGCGGCUUGGUAAGCGUGCGGUGAAAGCUCGGGGCUCAACCCCGAGUCGGCCGUGCGAACUGUCGAGCUUGGGCACAGUAGAGGCAGAUGGAAUUCCGGGUGUAGCGGUGGAAUGCGUAGAGAUCCGGAAGAACACCGGUGGCGAAGGCGGUCUGCUGGGCUGUGGCUGACGCUGAUGCGCGACAGCGUGGGGAGCAAACAGGA